This is an RNA transcript of Danio aesculapii, 1382 nucleotides long. It is a transcript of the gene named signal-induced proliferation-associated 1-like protein 1, with no coding region annotated. The record is from RefSeq and is a predicted model, not a curated record. The transcript is spliced from 6 exons. NCBI's taxonomy places the organism in Eukaryota, Metazoa, Chordata, Actinopteri, Cypriniformes, Danionidae.
CUUUGUGCUCUAAACCUCAAGAGGUUAAAACUUCCAUGGUGGAAACGCCUCCUUUGAUGAGAGCCACGGUUUCUCAAACUUCAGCGAUCUCAAAUCAACUGGGCAAGGAGCGCUUCAGCCAACUUCAGCUACGAGAGGACCAUCUCAUCCAGAGCCAGGACAGCAGUUUGUUCAAUCACAAUGCGUUCAGAAAGGACAGACUCUACUGGAGCCAGAGUCAGGAUUUAUCCAAUGAGGAUCCUCGUCUUUAUAUUAAUACACAACAUCUGUUCCCCGAACGCCAGUCUAGAGCAGACCAGCCUGCAAAGCUUUGUCUAAAACUGAGAAAGGCAAGUCAUGACAGUGUUGACGGCGCUGGCUUUAAACUAUUUCAAGGUGACCCUGACUGGUCCUGUCAGCUUCAAACCAGCCCUCACCGCAGCCCAAAACAAAACAAUAUACUGUACACACAACACAGAAACACUGUUGAUGUCAGAAACAAUGACCACAUCUAUAUAGAAAGUCAGGUGGAUGUGAGCUCAAAGAAUGUAUUUGGUCAGCCCCGAGUUGUUGCGUCUCUGCGAGCAGCUUGCUCACCGCGGCCUGUUCGCAAGAGCACAGUGGUGGAGGACCUGAAAAAACUCAUUGUGAUGGAUGACACCGAGGCCAGCGCUCAGGGGGAUUCAUCGUCAAAUCAACAAAAAGUGCCAGAGCUUUGCAGUAGUUCGCCAAUGUCAGCUUCAUGUGCCAGUCCAUCAUUAUUCAGUUCCACUCCAGCACUCACACCAGUCCAUCUCCACCUGAAGACACGUCAGUCAGGCAAGUUAAUCCUUUAUGAGUGAUUUAUGCUAUGGACUGUUUAUAGUAUCCGUUUGCAUUCACUGGUUGUCUUUUUCUAGAAUGUGAUGUUUUGCCUGAGCAGGCUGAAUCUGACCUGUGGGAACAUCCUGACACUGAACUCAUUCCCCUGCCAAACACAGCCUGCGAGCUUGACUGGAAUAGUCUGGUUCAAGCAGCCCAAGAAUAUGAGACACAAAGGAUGGCAACACUUCUGUCACAAAUGAGUCCUGUAUCAAGCCGGCCAGACACACCGUCCUGUGAAACCUACAAGAUCCACCAGUCCAGUGCCUAUUUCAGUGAAGAAGAAAUGGACAGUGAUGUGUUUAUUGACUUUCCUGACCAACUCUCUCACCUGGAAGGGAUGGUUAGGCGACUGAGCGGUGAUCUGCUGAAGGAGAAAAGAGACAAGGUGGCUCUUCUGACAGAGGUGUUGAAGCUCCGCAUUAGCAAUCAGCAUCUGAGAGAAGAGUCGCUCUGUGCUGUUGAACAGCUACACAAAAUCAGCAACAUUUUAAACACAACACCUGGAGAAUAAUGCAAGGUUGGAAGAAAAAUGUGUGGAA